RNAcentral lists this ribosomal RNA (301 nucleotides) under uncultured bacterium. RNAcentral describes it as "partial 16S ribosomal RNA". It matches the Rfam family "Bacterial small subunit ribosomal RNA", at positions 509 to 807 of the family's 1533-position model. The record is from RNAcentral.
CAGUCGCCGCGGUAAUACAGAGGGUGCAAGCGUUAAUCGGAAUUACUGGGCGUAAAGCGCGCGUAGGUGGUUUGUUAAGUUGGAUGUGAAAUCCCCGGGCUCAACCUGGGAACUGCAUCCAAAACUGGCAAGCUAGAGUACGGUAGAGGGUGGUGGAAUUUCCUGUGUAGCGGUGAAAUGCGUAGAUAUAGGAAGGAACACCAGUGGCGAAGGCGACCACCUGGACUGAUACUGACACUGAGGUGCGAAAGCGUGGGGAGCAAACAGGAUUAGAUACCCCCGUAGUCCCUGUCUCUUAUAC